GAAAACUCUUAACUUCUCAAUACACAAGAUUUCUCAUUCAAUCAUCUUUCUCAUCUUCAUCUGUUAUCAAUCUUAUUACUCUUCACACUCAAACUGCUAUUGGAACAUAACCUCUCUUCGGAGCAAGUCUUCUAGACUUAAUCACUAAACUUGAUCUCACUUACUAACUUGGAGUGACUGCAUUCCUUGUUACGAAUUAGUUUAAGUGUAUUCUUGAUAUAACUUUUGUCAUUUAUCUUUCUUUACUUUCCGCAACUAACUAUCUAACAAUCUCACUAUCUAACUUUAUUAUUGUUGAGCUUUUAGAUCCUUAGAGAUUAACUAUUCCGCAACUAACUUGUUCUAACGUUUGUUCAAGUGUGUCUCCAAGUUUUUCUCUCAACAAAAACAACUUAUUGUAUUAAGUUGUUGAAUCUCUGGCAAACACGGGGUGUUUGCAAGCCAACACAGCAUGUUGAUUAUCUAGAAGAUGGAAGAACACGGCGUAUCCAAGGGGCAACAUGGCGUGUUUGAUCAAUAUGGGUUGUUGACUUUCAUUUUGACUGGAAGUUUGAUCAGGGUUGUCCAUGGGUUAUAUUGGGCUAUGUUUGUGCCUUUUGGAUUGUAUAUUUGGGCCUCAAUCUUGGGCCAAGCUAGAUAAGGUGUAAAAUGAUCUUUAACCCUAAGUAUGGAUGGAGGAUAUAGAUUCAAUUCCAAUUGUUGAUUGGGUGUUGUUUUUGUUGGGUUUUGAGCAAUCUAACACUUCCUAAGUGUGCAUGCAACCCUAAUAAACCUUGGAUCUAUGUUUGUCUAAAUGCAUGCAAAAUAAUAAUUUUCCAAGGUUUAUAACCUAUCUAACAUGGCAUGGGGAACAUUUCAACAUAAAAGAGUUAGAAGAGAUUACAUACCUUUGUUGUGUUGGGUUCUUAGGAGUUUGAGGGCCAAGCACCAAUAGUGUGAAUGCCUCAAAUGGAAUCACAAACACCACAAACUCUUGGAAAACUUUGAGAGAGUAUACACACUCUUGUAUUUUCGGCCACACACAUGCACACACACACUAGAACACUAGCUUUCUCUUAGGCUAUCUUAGGCUCUCUUUCAUGCUCCAUAAGCAUGCUUAUAUAGUAUGCAUGGUUAGGGUGAAACCCUAAUAACCCAUGUCUUUUCCUAUUCCAAGGAUCCAUGGGUUAAAAGCUCCAUGGAUCAUCCAUGGACUUCCACAUAAGCCUAGCCCAUUAACAAAUGAGUAUUAGCCCACACUAUAUAAAACAAAUAGCCCAUAAUUUAAUUAGUAUUCCUUUUAAUCUCUAAAUUAAUCCAUAAUUAAUUUAAGACUAAAACUAAUUAAAUAACGUAACUUCAUAUUAAUAUAUUAUAACUCAUAAUAUAUUAAUAAACAUAUGUGUAUAACUCUCAUAAAAUUAUCCAUAAUAGUUUGGAUGAGAUGCAACCCAAAUGGACCAUGCCGGUCGGGUCAAGUAUAUACCAAAUAAGUUAUGGACUUAGACACCUUAUCCAACAGACUCCCACUUGGAUAAGUCUAAUAACUAUAUUUGCCUAUAACUUCAGGAACCAACCAACAAUCGUAGCUCUCGAAAACUCCCUCGAACAAUGAAGACUCUGUCGAACUAUGAAGCGCCAUUUUAGAUAAGUGAUCACAUAAUCCUCUGUUCUCAUGAUAUCAGCCGGACAAACACAUGGAACUAUGUCUUGCUUAUUGUCUAGCAGUUGUUUCUCGAUUAUCCGAUUUGUUUGACGAAGAACUUCACUGAACACAUCGGUUUAGUUCUGACCAGGCCUGGUAUAUGGGUCAACACAAAAUCAUCGAGGGGCCCGGAUAUCGCUUCUAUUUCUAGAAGGAACAGAUAAACUUCGACUGAUAUGCUUGUUCUACUACUUAUUGAAUUGUACACAAAGGCACGUUUUAUAACAUCAAGUUACUGAUGCGUUUACGUGCAAUCAAUGCACAACCAACUCAUAGGUAACAACUCAUAUCUCUAGGUUUAAAGAUUUAUAUGAUGUUAUCGUCUCACGAUCACUCGAGAUAAAUUCCAUGAAGUGAUACAAGUGAGCGUGGGUUUAUACCAAUACUCAUAACUUAUGAGUACUCAUGAAUGUUGCAGCAACCAUUGCCAUGCCUAAACACCUUUAAGGCAUCUACAAACCCAAUUCAUGACAAUCUUGAUUCAUACCUACUUCCGACGUAUGAUCGAUUGUGGAGGUUUGAACAAAUUAAUUAUUCUGGAAGUCAAAACAUGCAAAACUGAAACAAUAGUAAAUAAUUGACAAUGAUAGUAACACUUUACUCAUAAAUAAAUCACAAAUUUUAUUCAUCAUCAAACGUCGAUUACAUUUUACAAGUUUCAGGAAAACUAUCUAAUCUGUAAAACUAAUAUCGUCCCUCAGCCCGAUGCGUCUCGCAUGCUGAAAAUGCUUAACCCUCGUCAGUCCCUUCGUAAGGGGAUCUGCAGGAUUCUCAUCUGACGAUAUCCUCCUUGUCACAAGGAGUCCUUCUUCAAUCUUGUGCCUUAUGAAGUGAUAUUUUCUGUCAAUGUGUCGGGAUCUGCCAUGAUCUCUUGGUUCCUUGGCUAAGAUAACCGCAGCAUUGUUGUCACAGAAAAUCUCUAUAGGUUCCUUAAUAGCUGGUACAACUCCAAGGUCUCCGAUGAAGUUCUUUAGCCAUAUCGCCUCCUUCGCUGCUUCACUCGCUGCUAUAUACUCUGAUUCACAAGUCGAAUCAGCCACCGUCUCCUGCUUGGAACUCUUCCAAGAAAUUGCCCCUCCAUUUAAGGUAAAGAUCCAGCCCGACUGAGAGCGGAAAUUAUCCCUAUCAGUCUGAAAACCAGCAUCACUAUACCCUAAUAUUCUCAAGUCAUCACUGCCACCAAGGGUAAGGACCCAAUCCUUAGUCCUCCGCAGGUACUUGAGAAUGUUCUUUACCGCGGUCCAAUGAGCCUUGCCAGGGUUCCCCUGAUACCUGCUGACCAUGCUCAAAGCAAAUGCCACAUCAGGACGGGUACAAGUCAUAGCAUACAUGAUCGAGCCAACUGCGGAAGCAUAUGGUAAUUGGCUCAUCUCAGCUAUCUCAGCCUCUGUACUCGGACUCUGAGUCUUACUCAGUUUGGUAUUGCUUUGGAUCGGUAAAUCUCCUUUCUUGGAAUUCUCCAUGUUGAACCUUUUCAACACCUUAUCCAAGUAGAUACUCUGACUAAGUCCAAUUAGUCUUCUACUCCUUUCUCUUAAUAUCCUUAUCCCUAGGAUAUAGGUAGCCUCCCCUAGGUCCUUCAUAGCAAAGCACUUCCCAAGCCAGGACUUAACCUCCUGCAAGGUUGGGAUGUCAUUUCCUAUGAGUAGUAUGUCAUCCACAUACAGUACCAAGAAGCUAACUAUACUCCCACUAGCUCUGACAUACACGCAAGACUCAUCUUCGCUUCUCAAGAAGCCAAACUCUUUUACCUUCUCAUCAAAACAAAGAUUCCAGCUACGAGAUGCUUGUUUUAAUCCAUAAAUGGAUUUCUUAAGCUUGCAUACUCUAUUAGGGUACUCUGCAUUGACAAAACCCUCUGGCUGAUUCAUGUACACAUCCUCAGCCAACUUUCCAUUAAGGAAAGCGGUUUUGACAUCCAUUUGCCAUAUUUCAUAAUCAUGAAAUGCUGCAAUGGCUAACAUAACCCUAAUAGACUUAAUCUUGGCCACCGGCGAGAAGGUUUCAUCAUAAUCAAUACCUUGAGUUUGAGUAAAACCCUUCGCAACCAGUCGAGCCUUAUAAGUAUGCACUUUUCCUUCCAUGUCGGUCUUCUUUUUGAAGAUCCAUUUGCACCCGACUGUUUUACGGCCUGGUACAUUGUCAACCAAGUUCCAAACUUGAUUGUCAUACAUGGACUGUAUCUCGCUGUCCAUAGCCUCCUUCCAUUUAGCAGACUCCGGGCCUGCCAUGGCUUCCUUAACACUGCUAGGUUCAUCCAAAUUUACUAGUGUACUAUCACUAAUAAACGUAUCACCUUCCGUAGUAAUAUGAAAACCAUAAUAAAACGAAGGUGUGUUCCUAACCCGUGUGGAACGUCUCGGAGGUACAGACUCGUCAGCUGGAUCAACAGGAGUUUCUUCCUCAGGUUGAUUGCUAGUGUCUGAGGUUCCUUCACCAAUUGAUUCUUGAAUUUCUUCAAGAUCAAUCUGCCUCCCACUGUCUCCUUGGCUUAUAAAUUCUUUCUCGCGAAAGAUCCCUCUUCGUGCUACAAAGACCACAUUCUCACUGGGUCUGUAGAAAAGGUAACCGAAGGAUUUCUGUGGGUAGCCGAUGAAAAUACACCUUUCACUUCGGGGUUCAAGCUUAUCAUGAGUUUCACGCCUCACGAAGGCUUCGCAACCCCAAAUUUUGAUGUGGUCCAAAUUGGGAACCUUCCCAGUCCACAUCUCAUGAGGUGUUUUGGUAACCUUCUUUGUAGGGACUAGAUUAAGGAUAUGGGCGGCAGUCUCUAAGGCAUACCCCCAAAAAGAGAUUGGUAACGAAACUCGACUCAUCAUAGAGCGAACCAUGUCCAACAAGGUACGAUUACGCCUCUCAGCUACACCAUUCAGCUGUGGUGUCCUGGGAGGAGUCAAUUGUGAGACAAUCCCACACUCCUUAAGAUAGUCAAGGAACUCGGUACUAAGAUACUCACCACCUCGAUCGGAUCGAAGCAUCUUAAUGUUCCUGCCCAAUUGAUUUUCUACUUCCUGUUUGAAUUCCUUAAACCUUUCAAAGGUUUCGGACUUGUGUUUGAUCAAGUAGACAUACCCAUAUCUACUAUAAUCAUCAAUAAAAGUCACAUAAUACCGAUUAGCGUCCCUUGUGGCGGUUUUGAAUGGCCCACAUACAUCAGUAUGUAUUAGGUCCAACAAACCUUCACCCCUCUCACAAGUUCCAGUGAAGGGUGAUUUUGUCAUUUUUCCAAGUAGACAAGAUUCACAACUAUCAUCUGAUUUGAGGUCAAAUGAUUCCAAGACUCCACUCUUUUGGAGUUGGUCUAUGCGUUUCUUGUUUACAUGUCCAAGACGACAAUGCCACAAUGAUGCUUUAUCUAGGCUAGUAGAAGAAUCAAUAUACAACACAUUAUUUCCUAAGUUGUCUACAAUCGACACAGUUUCAUACACGCCAUCACAAGGUAAUGCUUUAAAAUAAAACACAUUAUUAAAGAAAGCAUUAAUACCACCACAUUCAUUAUCAAACGAAAAGGUAAAACCUUGUUUGUACAAAGCAUGAAAAGAAAUAAUAUUCCUCGCCAUUUCAGACGAGUAUACACAUUUAUUCAAAUCUAAUUUUAACCCAUUAUUAAGCAACAAAGUAUAAACUCCAAUCUUGGAAACAGGUGAAGCCUUCCUAUUCCCCAUGAUUAAGUUUAUCUUCCCGUGCUCCACAUCCUCACUUCUUCUUAGGCCCUGCAAAUCAGAACAUAUGUGAAUACCACAUCCUGUAUCAAGCACCCAAGAGUUAGAAUAUGUUGAGUAAUUAGACAAUAUAGUGUAAAUACCUGCAUAGGUGGGUUUCACUUUCCCAUCCUUUAGAUCCUGCAAGUACUUAGGGCAGUUUCGCUUCCAGUGUGCCUUUUCAUGGCAAUAAAAGCAUUCAGCAUCCUUUGGAAUGGCAGAAGGAGUGACAGAACCGUUCUUAGUCUUGGAUGAGGAGCCUUCAAGAGACUUUCCCUUGGUACCCUUCGAAGGGUGCUUCCUCUUUUUCCCUUUGCCUUGCCCAAUAGCUAAAACAGGGGUAGAAGUUGGAGUAGGAGUAGUAGAGGUAACAACCGCUUUACCCUUAAGACCGGUUUCAGCGGUCUUCAAGAGUCCUUGAAGCUUGCUGAGGGUAACUUCCUCCUUGUUCAUAUGAUAUGUCAUUCGAAAAUGAUCAUAACAAGAAGGCAAGGAGUGCAAAAUGAUGUCAAUUGCUAACUCCUCGGGGAUGUUAACAUUCAGCUUCAGCAAACGGUCCACAUACCUUUGCAUCUUUUGCAUGUGGCCCGUGACGGAUUCACCGUCCUUCAUGCGGGUAGUUAUUAUGGAGGAGAUUAUUUCAUACCGCUCCUGACGAGCACUCUGAUGGUACCUUUCCAUCAAGUCUUGGUGCAUCUCAAAAGGGUAGAAAUCUUCAUAUGACUUUUGGAGCUCGGCUGUCAUCGUGGCCAUCAUGAUACAUGCCACCUUAGUAGCAUCUCUCUCAUGAGUCCUGAAUUCAGCGAUCUCCUCAGGAGUAGCAGUAGACUCAUCAAGUUCUUUUAACUCCUUAUCGAGGACAUAUUCCUUGUCCUCGUAACGAGUAACCAUCCUGAUGUUCCUAAUCCAAUCCAUGAAGUUGGAACCAUCAAAGAUGACCCUCCCACAAAGAUUCAUGAGAGAGAAAGAACCAGUUGGGUUAGAGCCUGAAGCAUUAGUGUUGGAAGACAUCUGAAAGAAGAAAGUAAGUUUAGAUUAGAUAUUUAGGAUCCUUAAUAAGACACCCAAAUGUAAUAUUAAGGCUAGGAUCCAAUCACAAUAUAUUACACUUAGAAGAGGGAUGCCGUAAUCUAAGUAAUAAUAUAUUUGAAAGGUAGGCGAAUGACGAUUCACCAAUUUCCACCAUGAAAACGAAAUGAUUAAUUAGGUUUAAUUGGAUUUGAAAUUCCUAGAUUCUUUUGAGAUUCAUUGAACUUUUCAAUGGCAUGUUUCAAUCUCGAUUGUGCCCUUCAAGUUUUGUGACUGGGAUGCCGAGGAUCACAAAACAAGGUGUGAAUAACCAUGCUAACUCACUUGGUACUCCUAAUAUUAUCACCUAAUCAAUGUGCCGGUUAACCACACACGCUCCAUUGAUCUAUGACAACAUUAAGUUACCCUUCGUGAUCCUUACUAGUCUAAUUAGUGUGCCGGUUAACCACACACGCUCCACUAACGACUUGGUAAGGUACAAAGUGUGAAUUCCAUGGAUUAGCACCAUGUUCACAUUUUCCUAAAAUAACUAAGAUUGGGAAUUAAAAGAGUUUAGUUAUUUUAUAAUAUUCAUUAUACUUUUAAUGAGGAUUUAAAGUCGUUGUUCUACCCGUUCGGCUAACGACCCUCCACCGAUCAAGCAAGCGGUGGGUGAGAGUAUACACCCAUUAAGUCGCCAUUUUAUAGGCAACAACCUUAUACCCACCUUAUAGACCGGCUUCGUGAAUGAGGCCUACUAACGGUAAAACGACUUAUUCUUAUACAUAUAUAUAAUAAUUAACCAUUAAUGUUAUAAAUAGUAUAAGGGUUGAAUUUUAACUAUUAAAACUCUAAGGUUUGGAAUUAAAGUUUAUUAAAGUGUGUGAAACUUUACAAAUUCCAAAACUUGAGGACAAGUUUUGUAACUUUGCAAAACUCUUCAUUUCAUAACUUAUGAAUUAAAGGUUCAUAAAAAUGAAGACUCUUCAUUUUCAUGUAACUUAUGUGUUUUAAGUGUGUGUUAAAUGAAAGUGACCUUUGGUAAUCCAUAACUUGAGGACAAAUUAUGGACUCCAUUAAAACACAUAAAUGAUUAAGAAUUAAUUCUAAACAAUUCAGCAAAUAAUUCCUAUCAUUUUCUAAAUUCAUAAGAACAUGAACAUGAUCAUCAAAAAUUCAAGAAUUAUAUGAACACAUAAAAUCAUGGAUUUUUGAUAUAUGCUAUUGUAAAUGGAUUAGAACAACCAUUACACCAACUAAAAUAAGUUUUACAACACCAAAACAAUUUAGGGUAAUGUUUCCAGUCCAUUUCCAGCAGCAAAAGUCGAGAUUCUGCAUUCUUUCGAUCCUACUCGCCGAGUGCACGAACGGACUCGUCGAGUAGGUUGAAGUUUGCCUUGGACUCGGCGAGUCCCCCCAAUGGACUCGGCGAGUCUAGCAUGCAGACAGCAACGAUUUCGACUUUUUUCACUAUUUUGCAUCAAGUAUCAAACAAGCAAGCCUAGGCUCUGAUACCACUGUUGGGUUUUGAGCAAUCUAACACUUCCUAAGUGUGCAUGCAACCCUAAUAAACCUUGGAUCUAUGUUUGUCUAAAUACAUGCAAAAUAAUAAUUUUCCAAGGUUUAUAACCUAUCUAACAUGGCAUGGGGAACAUUUCAACAUAAAAGAGUUAGAAGAGAUUACAUACCUUUUAGAUGAGUUUGGUUCUUGAGGAGUUUGAGGGCCAAGCACCAAUAGUGUGAAUGCCUCAAAUGGAAUCACAAAACACCACAAACUCUUGGAAAACUUUGAGAGAGAAUACACACUUGUAUUUUCGGCCACACACAAGCACACACACACUAGUUCACUAGUUACCCUUUAGGGUGCCAUUUCAUGCUCCAUAAGCAUGCUUAUAUAGUGUACAUGAUUAGGGUGAAACCCUAAUAACCCAUGUCUUUUCCUUUCCAAGGAUCCAUGGGUUAAAAGCUCCAUGGAUCAUCCAUGGACUUCCAUAUAAGCCUAGCCCAUUAACAAAUGAGUGUUAGCCCACACUAUAUAAUACCAAUAGCCCAUAAUCUAAUUAGUCUUCCUUUUAAUCUCUAAAUUAAUUCAUAAUUAAUUUAAGACUAAGACUAAUUAAAUAACAUGACUUCAUAUUAAUAUAUUAUAACUUAUAAUAUAUUAAUAAACAUAUGUGUAUAACUCUCAUAAAAUUAUCCAUAA
Molecule: long non-coding RNA, 8596 nt
Filed under: Lactuca sativa (garden lettuce)
Lineage: Eukaryota; Viridiplantae; Streptophyta; Magnoliopsida; Asterales; Asteraceae
Description: long non-coding RNA (LSAT_LNC006691)
Source: RNAcentral